GAUAGUUGCCAUCAUUUGGUUGGGCACUUUAUCGAGACUGCCGGUGACAAACCGGAGGAAGGUGGGGAUGACGUCAAGUCCUCAUGGCCUUUAUGUCUAGGGCUGCACACGUCCUACAAUGGCACGGACAAAUGGACGCAAUACCGCGAGGUGGAGCAAAUCCCCAAAAACUGUCUCAGUUCGGAUUGUACUCUGCAACUCGAGUGCAUGAAGUUGGAAUCGCUAGUAAUCGCGGAUCAGCAUGCCGCGGUGAAUACGUUCUCGGGCCUUGUACACACCGCCCGUCACGUUAUGGAAGCCGGUUUUGCCCGAAGUAUGUUAGCUAACCCGCAAGGGAGGCGAUGUCCUAAGGUGAGGCUGGUAACUGGAACGAAGUCGAAACAAGGUAGCCGUAGGGGAACCUGCGGCUGG
RNAcentral lists this ribosomal RNA (411 nucleotides) under Oxyrrhis marina. RNAcentral describes it as "partial Bacterial small subunit ribosomal RNA". It matches the Rfam family "Bacterial small subunit ribosomal RNA", at positions 1110 to 1521 of the family's 1533-position model. The record is from RNAcentral. Lineage: Eukaryota; Dinophyceae; Oxyrrhinales; Oxyrrhinaceae.